GCCUUCGUAGUGUAGUGGUCAGCAUGCUCGAUGCAUAACCGAGAGGUCCGUGGUUCGAUUCCCGGUGAAGGCG
This 73-nucleotide transfer RNA is filed under the name Stegodyphus mimosarum. It matches the Rfam family "tRNA". From Rfam's summary of the family: Transfer RNA (tRNA) molecules are approximately 80 nucleotides in length. The record is from Rfam by way of RNAcentral. Lineage: Eukaryota; Metazoa; Arthropoda; Arachnida; Araneae; Eresidae.